AUUGAACGCUGGCGGCAUGCCUUACACAUGCAAGUCGAACGGUAACGGGCCUUCGGGUGCCGACGAGUGGCGAACGGGUGAGUAAUACAUCGGAACGUGCCCGGUCGUGGGGGAUAACGAGGCGAAAGCUUUGCUAAUACCGCAUACGAUCUACGGAUGAAAGCAGGGGACCGCAAGGCCUUGCGCGGACGGAGCGGCCGAUGGCAGAUUAGGUAGUUGGUGGGCUAAAAGCUUACCAAGCCGACGAUCUGUAGCUGGUCUGAGAGGAUGAUCAGCCACACUGGGACUGAGACACGGCCCAGACUCCUACGGGAGGCAGCAGUGGGGAAUUUUGGACAGUGGGCGCAAGCCUGAUCCAGCCAUGCCGCGUGCAGGAUGAAGGCCUUCGGGUUGUAAACUGCUUUUGUACGGAACGAAAAGCCUUCUUUUAAUACAGGAGGGUCAUGACGGUACCGUAAGAAUAAGCACCGGCUAACUACGUG
Molecule: ribosomal RNA, 482 nt
Filed under: uncultured bacterium
Lineage: Bacteria
Description: partial 16S ribosomal RNA
Rfam family: Bacterial small subunit ribosomal RNA
Source: RNAcentral